This 460-nucleotide ribosomal RNA is filed under the name uncultured bacterium. RNAcentral describes it as "partial 16S ribosomal RNA". It matches the Rfam family "Bacterial small subunit ribosomal RNA", at positions 338 to 795 of the family's 1533-position model. The record is from RNAcentral.
CCUACGGGCGGCAGCAGUGAGGAAUAUUGGUCAAUGGGCGCGAGCCUGAACCAGCCAAGUCGCGUGAAGGAUGACUGCCCUACGGGUUGUAAACUUCUUUUGUAAAGGAAUAAAGUGAGGCACGUGUGCCUUUUUGUAUGUACUUUAUGAAUAAGGAUCGGCUAACUCCGUGCCAGCAGCCGCGGUAAUACGGAGGAUCCGAGCGUUAUCCGGAUUUAUUGGGUUUAAAGGGAGCGUAGCUGGGCUGUUAAGUUAGUUGUGAAAGUUUGGGGCUCAACCGUAAAAUUGCAAUUGAUACUGGCAGCCUUGAGUACAGUUGAGGUAGGCGGAAUUCGUGGUGUAGCGGUGAAAUGCUUAGAUAUCACGAAGAACACCGAUUGCGAAGGCAGCUUACUAAACUGCCACUGACAUUGAGGCUCGAAAGUGUGGGUAUCAAACAGGAUUAGAUACCCCUGUAGUC